GGGGAUUUAGCUCAGUGGUAGAGCGCUUGCCUAGCAAGCACAAGGCCUGGGUUCAGUCCCCAGCUCCG
This is a non-coding RNA of Rattus norvegicus (Norway rat), 68 nucleotides long. NCBI's taxonomy places the organism in Eukaryota, Metazoa, Chordata, Mammalia, Rodentia, Muridae. The record is from Rfam.